UCCAUCCCUCCCGCUAUCCGCCCCGGUCCUAGACCCCGCAGCAAAACACUUCCUGCUUCACCGAAAGCCUCGGUCACGUGAUUUGAACGAGGCGGGCGCCCGGACGGCGUCUCCAGAGGGACUAAAUUCAGCGCGGAGCUGCGUCUGCGUUCUUUACGCUUCUCGAGUGUUGGCGUUACAGGUGUGUGCCACCACGCCUAGCAGUUAUUUAUGGGCUCUGGAGGCUAAAGCCAGAUCUUCAUGUGAGCCAGUGAAACAGGUUCUUCGCGGCUCAUGGUACUCACUCUUGUUCUUCAGGCUAAGGUGCCCUGGGAUAUGCUGAGGGGAGCCUAAGAAUUCACAAGGUUGAUCUCAGAAAAGACAAGCUUUGUAAAUCUCCAAGGAGAAGUGACCCUCACCCUAACUCCCAUCACACUUGGCUUUACUGAUAAAGCACAGGGUUUGAGAGUUGGUUUUUGUUUUUUACAGUGUGGUUCUCCUACAAACAUAAAAAGGACACCUGCCAAGGACUAAGGAGCUGACGAAGGCCUCAGUAAGACGGUAGAGGUGGUUUGAAGUGCAUUUGAGGGAGCUAGGCGCUUAUAGGCAUUUAAAAGGAAAUUAUAGCCAUUAAUUUCCAGCCCCCAAACAAAACUGGUUGCCCUUGCAUAUGUAAUUGAUUGUUUUUGACGAGAAUACCGAGGUGAUCAGUGGAAAAGCCAGUCUUUUCACCGUAUUGUUGGGGAGUUGUCUCCAUGUGCAAUAGA
Molecule: long non-coding RNA, 746 nt
Organism: Arvicola amphibius (Eurasian water vole)
Lineage: Eukaryota; Metazoa; Chordata; Mammalia; Rodentia; Cricetidae
Exons: 4
Source: RefSeq, a predicted model, not a curated record